This 126-nucleotide ribosomal RNA is filed under the name Verrucomicrobiota bacterium. RNAcentral's name for it is "Verrucomicrobia bacterium (freshwater metagenome) partial 23S ribosomal RNA". It matches the Rfam family "Bacterial large subunit ribosomal RNA", at positions 2779 to 2925 of the family's 2925-position model. Lineage: Bacteria; Pseudomonadati; Verrucomicrobiota. The record is from RNAcentral.
AUCUAAGCGCCAAGCCUUUCCCAAGAUAAGAUCUCCCUAUAGAACCCAGGUAGACCACCUGGUUGAUAGGUCGCAGAUGUAAGCGUAGCGAUACGUUGAGUCUAGCGAUACUAAUGUUCGAUUGAU